CAAAAACAUAGCUUUUUGUUAUAAAUAAAAAGUAGGGUCUGCCCAGUGAGUAAUUUUAACGGCCGCAAUAUUUGUGCGAAGGUAGCAUAAUCAUUUGUCUUUUAAUUGAUGACUGGAAUGAAUGGCUGGACGGGGAUAAGCUGUCUUAUAUAUAUAUAUUUGAAAUUUACUUUUAAGUAAAAAGGCUUAAAUGGUUUAGAGGGACGAGAAGACCCUAUUGAGUUUAAUAGAAUUUAUUUAAAUUUUUCUUAAAUUUUUAUAUAAUCUAUUUAGUUGGGGAGAUUUGAUAUUAUUAACUAUAUAAGAAUUAAUAGACUUUAAGUUUUUAGGAUCCAUAUUUAAUGAUUACUAAGAUAAAUUACCUUAGGGAUAACAGCGUAAUAUUUUUUUAGAGUUCAAAUCGAUUAAAAUGAUUACGACCUCGAUGUUGGAUUAAAGAACCUAAUUUGGAGAAGAUUUUAAUUUAGGUAGUCUGUUCGACUAUUAAAUCUUUAC
RNAcentral lists this ribosomal RNA (495 nucleotides) under Nymphon sp. 1 ARM-2007. RNAcentral describes it as "partial 16S ribosomal RNA". It matches the Rfam family "Bacterial large subunit ribosomal RNA", at positions 1808 to 2599 of the family's 2925-position model. Lineage: Eukaryota; Metazoa; Arthropoda; Pycnogonida; Pantopoda; Nymphonidae. The record is from RNAcentral.